ACCAAUGGGACUGUAUAUUUUCCUAGUUGGGGAGGCUUCAGAAGGCCAGAUUUGAGUUGAGACCUGAAGGCUAGGGGUUUUCUUGACCUUUUUUGGGGUGGGGGGAAGUCUUUACAAUAGACAGGAAAAUAGAUAAUAAGGGGACUAUUAUGUGUUGUGUCAUGGAGGACAAUGUGGAAAAAUAUUGGGAGUAGUUAACAGUAUUGAAUGCUGUUGAGAAAUUCAAAUUAGAUGAGAACUGAAAAUGUCAUUCUUGUCUUCUCAGUGUGUAGUCAUUGAUAAUUUUCGUGAAUGCUGUGUUGGUGGGGUAAUGGGCCUGCAGAUAACAUUGAAGUGGGUACAGGAUUGCUGGAGAUGAUGAAAUGGCAUCCUCAAGCAGACAAUUCUUCCAAGUUUAACUGUGGAUGAGAGACACAUCAGAUGGUGUUUCUUUUAGCUUGCAACACCAUGAAAAAAUUACUGAGACACUAGGAAUGCUGUGAACUGAGAAAGUUUGGGACCUUUGGCAUAACUAAAUCCUGCAUUUAACAGUUACUCUUGAACAGUUCAGACAAAUGUUAAUUUCAGUAAGAACUGCAUUAACAAGAUGAUGAGAAAAAUGGAGUGUUGUGAACUACAUGUCAUGGGAUAAUCAAAAUUAAACCUGAAAUCUCAGAAGAAACAAAUUGUUUGAAGAAAUUGGAUGUGAUUUUUUACAAUUUUUCAUUCAAUUAAAACUUUGUGAACUGUUUUGUGGUUUUGGUCUUCUCUAAAUUUUAAUCUUUGGCAUUUACUUCCAAAGUAUCCCCCACUAAACUUCAUAACAUUUAUUGUGUCUCUUCAUCAUUAAACUUUGAUGAAUUUA
Non-coding RNA from Chlorocebus sabaeus (green monkey), 844 nucleotides. Lineage: Eukaryota; Metazoa; Chordata; Mammalia; Primates; Cercopithecidae. The record is from RefSeq and is a predicted model, not a curated record.